GGUACCCUUGGUCCCUUGAUUUCAUUUGCACUGAGCAGUCUGCUCUGCCUUCAAACUGCCCUAACCUAGUGGGACUUUGGUAAUCGGAGUCCUGUAACUGACGUGUGGUUUGCAUUAAAUAUCUGCUUCCCUUAAUGCUCAGGACACUCUGCUGUAGGAUGAGGUUUGCAUAGAUACAUGUAGGGAAGAAAAAAAGAUUAGCCUGCUAACGGCAGAAGCCCUCUCUGCUUUCAGGUCCCCUUUGGCUUGAUGACUAUGCUGGAUGUUGUGGUAUUUUCUGCCCUGUGCCAGUAUCUCUGAAAGCUUGCCUGAACAUCUCUGUGUCUUACCAGGUGCCAUUAGUAGUUUAAAUCAACCUGAAUGUGUGUCCUGUUCAGAGUGCAAUGUGUUGUUUCUCACAGCUGAGCAGCACUCUGCCUUCCCAGCAGCAGUUCACCGCAGAGCACGUUGCUCAUUCCUGGCUCCAGCUCUGAGCUAAGCUGGUAGCCCAGGUUGAGGAGGUCAAACCUGCUGUCUGAUAACAGAUGAAGGUGAGAUGUGAUGGCCCAGCCCCUGGCACCAUAUCUGGGUGUUGAGGCAAUGCCAGCACCAUUUGGCUGCUCCUUCAGGCUGUGCUGCUGCCCUCUUCUAGGGGCAGGCAUUGCCUUCAGCUCCUUUCUGCACACAGGAAACAGGGUGGAGAGCUUUGGUUUUAUUUUAUGUCUUUAUCUGUAAGGAAAACAAAUUUGUUAUCUGUAGUGAGGAGCAAAGGGUCAUCUUGUUCAAAGCCUUUGCUUUUCAAGUGUUUUUCUAGCACUAUUAUAUUCCAAAGUAACAAGCAAGCAGUACUGCUUGGUGGAGUUCACAGAGCCUCAGUUCUUAAUGCCCUGAGCACACUGCUAAAUCAAGACAGAAAUUGAUUUGAGACUGUUUGAAGAUGACAGCUCUGGAUUAAGCUUAAUUGACCAUCAUGAUUUUACAUCGACUCAGAUGAGCCAAGGCGCAAGUGGUGCCCUGGCUGGCUGGGGCUGUUGGUCGCAUGAUGAUGACAGAGGACAAAUUCGUCUCCAGAACUCACCUGGCAGCCAGCUUCCCCGUGUCCUUGCUGGAGAAGAGCUGGCAGGACGUGUGCUGUGUAUCGAUAAAACCAGAGGGAAACCCUGGGACCUCUCCGACCAGAGCUCAGCAGCAGCCAGUGCCUGUCUGAGCGGCUUUCUCCCCGAGCCGAGAAGUGGAUAAUCCAGAUGACCGCCGUCCCCGCCGUCUGAGCGCAGCUUCGGGAGGAGCCCCGGGGAGAUGCCGGGGCCGUGAGCUCCUGCGGGACCCCUCCGGAGGAGGCACGAGGGCUGAACCCCGAGCCCCCAGCAGCCACUCAGCUCUCGGGGCUGGAGAUGUCCCAGCAAGGGUCUCGCUCUGCGUCAUCCUUCAGCAGGUCUGUGCGUGGGGCUGCUUGCGCUUGUUUAAGGCCCUAGAGCUUAACUGUGAUAGAGGCGCUCCCAGGUUGAAAUAUAAGAAUAAAUAAAAGUCCCUGGGUGCUUCUAGCA
RNAcentral lists this long non-coding RNA (1523 nucleotides) under Anas platyrhynchos platyrhynchos (common mallard). Its description in RNAcentral is "lncRNA (ENSAPLG00000023337.1)". The record is from RNAcentral. Lineage: Eukaryota; Metazoa; Chordata; Aves; Anseriformes; Anatidae.